AGAACGAACGCUGGCGGCAUGCCUAAUACAUGCAAGUCGAACGAACACUUCGGUGUUAGUGGCGCACGGGCGCGUAACGCGUGGGGAUCUGCCCUUGGGUUCGGAAUAACAGUUGGAAACGACUGCUAAUACCGGAUGAUAUCGAAAGAUCAAAGAUUUAUCGCCCAGGGAUGAGCCCGCGUAGGAUUAGCUAGUUGGUGAGGUAAAGGCUCACCAAGGCGACGAUCCUUAGCUGGUCUGAGAGGAUGAUCAGCCACACUGGGACUGAGACACGACCCAGACUCCUACGGGAGGCAGCAGUAGGGAAUAUUGGACAAUGGGCGCAAGCUGAUCCAGCCAUGCCGCGUGUGUGAAGAAGGUCCUCGGAUUGUAAAGCACUUUAAGUUGGGAGGAAGGGCAGUUACCUAAUACGUAUCUGUUUUGACGUUACCGACAGAAUAAGCAACCGGCUAACUCUGUGCCAGCAGCCGCGGUAA
Molecule: ribosomal RNA, 476 nt
Filed under: uncultured soil bacterium
Lineage: Bacteria
Description: bacterial SSU rRNA
Rfam family: Bacterial small subunit ribosomal RNA
Source: RNAcentral